RNAcentral lists this ribosomal RNA (385 nucleotides) under uncultured bacterium. RNAcentral's name for it is "bacterial SSU rRNA". It matches the Rfam family "Bacterial small subunit ribosomal RNA", at positions 28 to 414 of the family's 1533-position model. The record is from RNAcentral.
GACGAACGCUGGCGGCGUGCUUAACACAUGCAAGUCGAGCGGUAAGGCCCUUUCGGGGGUACAUGAGCGGCGAACGGGUGAGUAACACGUGGGUGACCUGCCCUCAGCUCUGGGAUAAGCCUGGGAAACCGGGUCUAAUACCGGAUAUGACUCCAUGACGCAUGUUGUGGGGUGGAAAGCCUUGUGCGGCUGAGGAUGGGCCCGCGGCCUAUCAGCUUGUUGGUGGGGUGANGGCCUACCAAGGCGACGACGGGUAGCCGGCCUGAGAGGGCGACCGGCCACACUGGGACUGAGACACGGCCCAGACUCCUACGGGAGGCAGCAGUGGGGAAUCUUGCGCAAUGGGCGAAAGCCUGACGCAGCGACGCCGCGUGAGGGAUGACGG